This is a long non-coding RNA of Mesocricetus auratus (golden hamster), 736 nucleotides long. RefSeq lists it as uncharacterized. The transcript is spliced from 2 exons. NCBI's taxonomy places the organism in Eukaryota, Metazoa, Chordata, Mammalia, Rodentia, Cricetidae. The record is from RefSeq and is a predicted model, not a curated record.
GGUAGCAGACACGUGGGAUUCGGGGAACAGAUCUGAAGGUUAGCCUUUCUGCCAUUAUAGAAGACGGAAGAGCUGUGGCAGCACCAGUCUGGUGUAUCUGCUUAGUGCCUGUGGGAUUGAUCAUGUGAAGUUUGAUCACAGGGGACUGUGCCUUGAUGACCUGAUGAUCCUAUGACCCACGCACCUACUCACGGAUGCCUGCAGUCCUUUUAGCAUUCUGUAUACCGCCUACUCUGCAACUCAGAGGAGACCAGGAAGUCUCAGGUUUCGGUGCUGCAGGUUGAAGCCAUGCUAAGAAUUCACUUUGCCACACAGCUGACCCUCUAUCCCAUAAAGCAUGAAUGUAUCAUUUCUCUGGAACUGAUUUUGAACAUUCUGAGUGUUCAUCCAGUGAACUCACACAGAGCCCCUGUUACGGCCUGUUUUGGGCACAGGGAACUCAGUUAACAAAACAUCUACCAUGAUGGAGAUAACUUUCCAACAGGAGCCUUAGAAAAACACAGAAAAAGAGCAUUUUCCAGAUUCACUAAUCCAUUACCUCAUCACAUGCAUCACAGAGGAGGACAAAUGUUCUUGGUCUCACUGACUUCAGUUCCUAUACCCCAUCCCUUAUUAGCCUCCUGGAUCAACACCCAAGUUUAUUAUCUGCCCACUCUGCUCCAUCAAUGUGUCUUAGUCCUCUUUCCAUUGCUGUGACAAUGUACCCGAGACAAACAACUUAAAAAGAGGGACGUGA